UAGGGAAUAUUGCACAAUGGGGGAAACCCUGAUGCAGCGACAUCGCGUGAGUGAUGAAGGCUUUCGGGUUGUAAAGCUCUGUUCUUAAGGAACAAAAAAAUGAGGGUACUUAAGAAGAAAGGACCGGCUAAUUUCGUGCCAGCAGCCGCGGUAAUACGAGGGGUUCAAACGUUAUCCGGAAUUAUUGGGCGUAAAGCGGAUGUAGGUGGCUUUGUCAGUCAGAAGUGAAAGCCUCGGGCUUAACCCGAGAAGUGCUUUUGAUACUGCAAGGCUUGAGUUAGGGAGAGGAUAGUAGAAUUCCUGGUGUAGUGGUGAAAUACGUAGAUAUCAGGAGGAAUACCGGAGGCGAAGGCGUCUAUCUGGCCCGACACUGACACUCAGAUCCGAAAGCGUGGGGAGCAAACAGG
Molecule: ribosomal RNA, 407 nt
Filed under: uncultured Bdellovibrio sp.
Lineage: Bacteria; Pseudomonadati; Bdellovibrionota; Bdellovibrionia; Bdellovibrionales; Pseudobdellovibrionaceae
Also listed under: 1 other name
Description: bacterial SSU rRNA
Rfam family: Bacterial small subunit ribosomal RNA
Source: RNAcentral